Molecule: ribosomal RNA, 284 nt
Filed under: uncultured prokaryote
Description: partial 16S ribosomal RNA
Rfam family: Bacterial small subunit ribosomal RNA
Source: RNAcentral
UACGUAGGGGCUAGCGUUAUCCGGAAUUACUGGGCGUAAAGGGUGCGUAGGUGGUUUCUUAAGUCAGAGGUGAAAGGCUACGGCUCAACCGUAGUAAGCCUUUGAAACUGGGAAACUUGAGUGCAGGAGAGGAGAGUGGAAUUCCUAGUGUAGCGGUGAAAUGCGUAGAUAUUAGGAGGAACACCAGUGGCGAAGGCGACUUACUGGACUGUAACUGACGCUGAGUCACGAAAGCGUGGGUAGCAAACAGGAUUAGAUACCCCGGUAGUCCCUGAGCGGGCUGG